RNAcentral lists this ribosomal RNA (216 nucleotides) under Glomeromycotina sp. RNAcentral describes it as "partial small subunit ribosomal RNA". The stretch from base 40 to 216 matches the Rfam family "Eukaryotic small subunit ribosomal RNA", at positions 686 to 864 of the family's 1831-position model. The record is from RNAcentral. Lineage: Eukaryota; Fungi; Glomeromycota.
GGGUCAGUAAGUUGGUCGUGCCACCGGUACGUACUGGUCUCACUGAUUCCUCCUUCCUGAAGAACCGUAAUGCCAUUAAUUUGGUGUUGCGGGGAAACAGGACUGUUACUUUGAAAAAAUUAGAGUGUUUAAAGCAAGCUAACGCUUGAAUACAUUAGCAUGGAAUAAUGAAAUAGGACGAUCGAUCCUAUUUUGUUAGUUUCUAGGAUUGACGUA